This is a non-coding RNA of Odocoileus virginianus texanus, 477 nucleotides long. The record is from RefSeq and is a predicted model, not a curated record. Lineage: Eukaryota; Metazoa; Chordata; Mammalia; Artiodactyla; Cervidae.
UAGAAAAGUGAACUCAGGGAAGUUCUGAGUCUAUGGUUUUACAGAUACCUUUACACUCAUGGUUUUCAGCCCUUUAUCUCCAAAACCAAACACUGACACCAAAUGUCAGGGACUAUUUCACAAUUUCAGUUUCUUUUUCAAGACCAACAUCAGCAGCUCACCUCUGAGCAGGUGAGUGCCACUGCUGGCCCCUGAAAAGACAGAGCGCCAGCAGGAGCCACAGAAACAGCUGCCACAGUGGUUAGGGAGGCUGGUUGGAGCCUCUGUUCAGCUGAACAAUUCAUCUCUUAAGAAAGAACCACUUGCUCUCCCAUGGAAAGUCCCCUUCCCUGCACUGGGACCAGACUGACCUGCAUGGGAGUCCUCUGACAGUUGGUGCUCAUUUCUGAGUUGUGAACAGCUACCGGUCUGUACUAUUUCGAUGACAAGGAAACAUUCAAAGACUUUUGCUAAAAAAAAAAAAAAAAGAUUUUUGCU